RNAcentral lists this ribosomal RNA (370 nucleotides) under uncultured eukaryote. Its description in RNAcentral is "partial 18S ribosomal RNA". It matches the Rfam family "Eukaryotic small subunit ribosomal RNA", at positions 592 to 976 of the family's 1831-position model. The record is from RNAcentral.
CAAUAGCGUAUAUUAAAGUUGUUGCAGUUAAAAAGCUCGUAGUUGGACCUUGGACCUGGACAGGCGGUCCGCCUCACGGCGUGUACUGUCUUGCUGGGCCUUUCCUCUUGGUGAUCUGUUGUUUCGGCAGCAGGGAACCAGGACUUUUACUUUGAAAAAAUUAGAGUGUUCAAAGCAGGCUCGACGCCGGAAUAUAUUAGCAUGGAAUAAUAAAAUAGGACGUGCGGUUCUAUUUUGUUGGUUUUUGGAAUCGCCGUAAUGAUUAAUAGGGACAGUCGGGGGCAUUAGUACUCACAUGCUAGAGGUGAAAUUCUUGGAUUUUGUGAAGACUAACUUCUGCGAAAGCAUUUGCCAAGGAUGUUUUCAUUAA